ACCAACUGGAGCCCCCAGAACUGGCAGACACCUGCCUGAUGCUGCCAUGGGCCCGCAGCUCCUUGGCUAUGUGGUCCUUUGCCUUCUAGGAGCAGGCCCCUUGGAAGCCCAAGUGACCCAGAACCCAAGAUACCUCAUCACAGUGACUGGAAAGAAGUUGACAGUGACUUGUUCUCAGAAUAUGAACCAUGAGUAUAUGUCCUGGUAUCGACAAGACCCAGGCCUGGGCCUAAGGCAGAUCUACUAUUCAAGUAACGUUGAGUUGGUUGAUAAGGGAGAUAUUCCUGAAGGGUACAACGUCUCUCGAAAAGAGAAGACAACUUUCCCCCUGAUCCUGGAGUCACCCAGCCCCAGCCAGACCUCUCUGUAUUUCUGUGCCAGCAGUUAUCCACAGUGCUGCACAGCCAGCUGCUCUCUGCACAAAAACAGAGGGUAGCUGCAAGAACAAGGAGACUCCUCCUUCAGGAGACCACUCGCCGACCAACAGAAUAAACUUCCUCCAUCAUCCCACAGAAGCUCUUCCCCACUCCCCAGCCUCAGGGACUCUGCAAUGCAGCCGCUCUGCAGAAGCAGGGGUCCACCUCUAUCUGCUGUACCAAU
Mandrillus leucophaeus (drill) is the source of this 600-nucleotide non-coding RNA. The record is from the annotation of a RefSeq genome assembly. NCBI's taxonomy places the organism in Eukaryota, Metazoa, Chordata, Mammalia, Primates, Cercopithecidae.